This 946-nucleotide ribosomal RNA is filed under the name Cortinarius semisanguineus. RNAcentral describes it as "eukaryotic LSU rRNA". It matches the Rfam family "Eukaryotic large subunit ribosomal RNA", at positions 1 to 931 of the family's 3401-position model. The record is from RNAcentral. Lineage: Eukaryota; Fungi; Basidiomycota; Agaricomycetes; Agaricales; Cortinariaceae.
UGUGACCUCAAAUCAGGUAGGACUACCCGCUGAACUUAAGCAUAUCAAUAAGCGGAGGAAAAGAAACUAACAAGGAUUCCCCUAGUAACUGCGAGUGAAGCGGGAAAAGCUCAAAUUUAAAAUCUGGCAGUCUUUGGCUGUCCGAGUUGUAAUCUAGAGAAGUGUUAUCCGCGCUGGACCGUGUACAAGUCUCCUGGAAUGGAGCGUCAUAGAGGGUGAGAAUCCCGUCUUUGACACGGACUACCAGGGCUUUGUGAUGCGCUCUCAAAGAGUCGAGUUGUUUGGGAAUGCAGCUCAAAAUGGGUGGUAAAUUCCAUCUAAAGCUAAAUAUUGGCGAGAGACCGAUAGCGAACAAGUACCGUGAGGGAAAGAUGAAAAGAACUUUGGAAAGAGAGUUAAACAGUACGUGAAAUUGCUGAAAGGGAAACGCUUGAAGUCAGUCGCGUUGUCCAGGGAUCAACCUUGCUUUUGCUUGGUGCACUUUCUGGUUGACGGGUCAGCAUCAAUUUUGACCAUUGGAAAAAGAUUAAGGGAAUGUGGCAUCUUUGGAUGUGUUAUAGCCCUUGGUUGCAUACGAUGGUUGGGAUUGAGGAACUCAGCACGCCGCAAGGCCGGGUUUUUAACCACGUACGUGCUUAGGAUGCUGGCAUAAUGGCUUUAAUCGACCCGUCUUGAAACACGGACCAAGGAGUCUAACAUGCCUGCGAGUGUUUGGGUGGAAAACCCGAGCGCGUAAUGAAAGUGAAAGUUGAGAUCCCUGUCGUGGGGAGCAUCGACGCCCGGACCAGACCUUUUGUGACGGUUCCGCGGUAGAGCAUGUAUGUUGGGACCCGAAAGAUGGUGAACUAUGCCUGAAUAGGGUGAAGCCAGAGGAAACUCUGGUGGAGGCUCGUAGCGAUUCUGACGUGCAAAUCGAUCGUCAAAUUUGGGUAUAGGGGCGAAAGAC